Molecule: ribosomal RNA, 497 nt
Filed under: uncultured bacterium
Lineage: Bacteria
Description: partial 16S ribosomal RNA
Rfam family: Bacterial small subunit ribosomal RNA
Source: RNAcentral
GAUGAACGCUGGCGGCGUGCCUAAUACAUGCAAGUCGAGCGAACAGACGAGGAGCUUGCUCCUCUGACGUUAGCGGCGGACGGGUGAGUAACACGUGGAUAACCUACCUAUAAGACUGGGAUAACUUCGGGAAACCGGAGCUAAUACCGGAUAAUAUAUUGAACCGCAUGGUUCAAUAGUGAAAGACGGUUUUGCUGUCACUUAUAGAUGGAUCCGCGCCGCAUUAGCUAGUUGGCAAGGUAACGGCUUACCAAGGCAACGAUGCGUAGCCGACCUGAGAGGGUGAUCGGCCACACUGGAACUGAGACACGGUCCAGACUCCUACGGGAGGCCGCAGUAGGGAAUCUUCCGCAAUGGGCGAAAGCUUGACGGAGCAACGCCGCGUGAGUGAUGAAGGUCUUCGGAUCGUAAAACUCUGUUAUUAGGGAAGAACAAAUGUGUAAGUAACUAUGCACGUCUUGACGGUACCUAAUCAGAAAGCCACGGCUAACUACGUG